UACGUAGGGUGCGAGCGUUAAUCGGAAUUACUGGGCGUAAAGCGUGCGCAGGCGGCUUUGUAAGCCAGGUGUGAAAUCCCCGGGCUUAACCUGGGAAUGGCAUUUGGGACUGCAAGGCUUGAGUGCGGCAGAGGAGACUGGAAUUCCUGGUGUAGCAGUGAAAUGCGUAGAUAUCAGGAGGAACACCUGCGGUGUAGACGGCUUACUGGACGGUAACUGACGCUGAGGCACGAAAGCGUGGGUAGCAAACAGG
Molecule: ribosomal RNA, 253 nt
Filed under: uncultured bacterium
Lineage: Bacteria
Description: partial 16S ribosomal RNA
Rfam family: Bacterial small subunit ribosomal RNA
Source: RNAcentral